Gymnogyps californianus (California condor) is the source of this 205-nucleotide long non-coding RNA. RefSeq lists it as uncharacterized. The transcript has 4 exons. The record is from RefSeq and is a predicted model, not a curated record. Lineage: Eukaryota; Metazoa; Chordata; Aves; Accipitriformes; Cathartidae.
UCAGGGCGCUGCCGUAAGGUCCUGCAGUACCGGACUUGGUGUCGAGAGUUGGAGCAGCAGCUGGAAGCAGGAGGGGGAUCCCUUCCAGGCAGGCGGGAAGCCACAGAAGACCACAGCCUGAAGAAAGCACUGCUUCAGUUGGAAGAGGAGCAGCAAAGGUGCGAGAAUCUGGCAGAAGUGAACACUCUCCUGCGGGAGCAGCUCG